Molecule: unclassified non-coding RNA, 348 nt
Filed under: uncultured fungus
Lineage: Eukaryota; Fungi
Description: partial contains 5.8S ribosomal RNA, internal transcribed spacer 2, and large subunit ribosomal RNA
Rfam family: 5.8S ribosomal RNA (bases 1-52)
Source: RNAcentral
AACGCACCUUGCGCCCCUUGGUAUUCCGAGGGGCAUGCCUGUUUGAGCGUCGCGAGGAAAGGAUCAACUGCCUGUCGGUCUUUUGUGGCCGAGGUGAAGUUGGAUGUGGAGGGAUAUAUCAUUGCUGGCUUUUGUUGUCGGCUCCUCUUGAAUCGAUAAGGCCUCGUUUUCGGCGGAGUGAUGGUCGAUGUGAUACUCAUCCGCGUCGUCCUGGAAAAGCCGUUUUGCGAGCGUGGCCAAAAUGAAAAAGGAGAGAAAAAGGCUGCUUUCCCUUUUUCGAGGGGGAGGAGUCUUCUCCCGUCAGUCAAUAUCGACCUCAAAUCAGGUAGGACCACCCGCUGAACUUAA